AGGCCAGACUCCUACGGGAGGCAGCAGUGGGGGAUAUUGCACAAUGGGGGAAACCCUGAUGCAGCGACGCCGCGUGAGUGAAGAAGUAAUUCGUUACGUAAAGCCCUAUCGGCAGGGAAGAAGGAGGACGGUACCUGACUAAGAAGCCCCGGCUAACUACGUGCCAGCAGCCGCGGUAAUACGUAGGGGGCAAGCGUUAUCCGGAUUUACUGGGUGUAAAGGGGGCGCAGACGGCAGCGCAAGCCAGGAGUGAAAGCCCGGGGCCCAACCCCGGGACUGCUCUUGGAACUGCGCGGCUGGAGUGCAGGAGGGGCAGGCGGAAUUCCUGGUGUAGCGGUGAAAUGCGUAGAUAUCAGGAGGAACACCGGUGGCGAAGGCGGCCUGCUGGGCUUUUACUGACGCUGAGGCUCGAAAGUGUGGGGAGCAAACAGGAUUAGAUACCCCGGUA
RNAcentral lists this ribosomal RNA (448 nucleotides) under uncultured bacterium. Its description in RNAcentral is "partial 16S ribosomal RNA". It matches the Rfam family "Bacterial small subunit ribosomal RNA", at positions 328 to 792 of the family's 1533-position model. The record is from RNAcentral.